RNAcentral lists this transfer RNA (67 nucleotides) under Somniosus microcephalus (Greenland sleeper shark). Its description in RNAcentral is "tRNA-Ser". RNAcentral also lists the same sequence under 1 other name. The record is from RNAcentral. Lineage: Eukaryota; Metazoa; Chordata; Chondrichthyes; Squaliformes; Somniosidae.
AAGAGGGGUCUGGGACACAAAGAACUGCUAAUUCUUUUAUUCAUGGUUCAAAUCCAUGGCUCACUUG